AUUUUGCCUGCAGGUAUGUCUAUGUUUAUGGACCACAUGUAUGCCUGGUACCCACAGAGUUCAGAAGAGGGCAUUGGAUCUCCUAGAACUGGAGUCACACAUAGAUGUAAAGCCACUGAGUAGAUGUUGGGAACUGAACCCAAAUUCUCUGCAAGAACAGCAAGUGCACUUAACUGCUGAGCCGUCUCUCUAGCCGAUCACAUUAUCUUUUGAGAGAGGGGUCUCUUUUACCUGCAACUGGUUGGCUGACAGCUAAAGAGCUCCAAGGGUUCACUUGUCUCCACCCCUGUGCCUCUGUGCCUGGCUUGUGAAUAGGUUGUGGGGGUUGCAGUUGAGUCUCCCUGCUUCUUUGGCAAGCACCUUACUGACUGAGCCAUCUUUUCUCAAGUAUACCCUUCAGCGGUAUUAAGUACCUCUUCUUUAUGAGGUAGCUGAACUCAGACAUCUUUUCAUCUUGCAAAACUAAAACCUGCCUCUUAAAUAAUAAGUUCUCAUUUCUCCCUCCCCCAGACCCUAGUCGUCUCUACUGUGCUCCCUGUCUCUUUGAGUUCCCUUCCUUUCAGGGCCUGAUGUAACCAGAAUCAUAAGAGAGCCGCCCUUUUGCAACUGGCUUAUUUCACUCAGUGUACAGUCUUCUAGAUUCAUCCAUAAUGGAACAUGGGUCAGAAUUUUCACCCUUUUCAAGACUAGAUGGUAUUCCAUCGAAUGGCUAAGACCACAUUGUCUUUAUCUGUGGUGGACAACAGGGCUCUUUCUACCUAUCCACACCUCUCUUUGAGGCUCUGAUUUUAGUUUUCCUAGGUAUAGCCCCUCCACUGCCAACCCAUACACACAGGUGGAAUUUCUGGAUCUUUGAGAAUCCUGCUUUUUUACUUUUGGAAGAACUGCCUCGGUGUCCUUUCAAAUCUUCUUACUAUUAAUGAAUAGUGCCUUUGAAUGAGAAUGACUCCCAUAGUCUCAUAUAUUUGAAUGUUAGGUCUCCAUUUGGUGGAACUGUUUGGGAAGGAUUAGGAGGUGUGGAAUUGUUAUGGGAAGGGUGUGUCAGUUGGGGAUGGGAUUUAAGGGAUUUAAGCCCAUGCCAGGCUGAGUCUCACUCUGCCUGCCUCUAACCUAAGGAUAAGCUAUAAGGACUAGGCUUCGGCUCUAGCACAAUGCUUAUCUGCUUGCUAAGGUGCUCCCCACCCUGAUGAUCAGCCCUGUGCAACUGUAGGCAAGACCUCAAUUAAAUGCUUCCUUUUAUAAGUCGCCUUUGUAAUGGUGUCUCUUCACAGCAAUAGACCAGUCACUAAAACAAGCGCACAAGGGUUCGGGUCUUUCCUGGUUUUCAGCCCCUUCACCCCUUUGGCUCUUUCCUUAUCAUAUGUCUCCCUGGCUGGCUUUGAGCUUAGAUACUUCCUGCCUACACAUCCCAAGGGCUAGGGUUUUAGGUGUGCACCACCAUGCCUGUUUUAAAAUUUUUAAACAGGUGGGGUUAAUUUUUUUUUUUUAAAAUAGAGGUAUUUUAAAGCUGCAAAUAGGUCCAACGUACUUUACUGUCAGUAGACUAAACACUGCUCUGUACUGAUGCACCUUCAUUUAGAGCUGGCCCUACCUGUUUCAUAGGUACUGAUGGCUGACGUUCUUAGAGACAGUGUUAGCCCUGUUUGUUCACACAGCAUCUCUUUGUAGUUGUAAUAGAUGCUGAACAAAAGCGCUAGGAAUCCACUUGUCAAGCUCCUCUUCUGGUGAGUGUCCAGAGAGGUGACCGCUCGGAAUCCCUUGGUGGCCGAGCUGCAUAGGGAUUUAGGUCUGCUAACUUUCAGAACAUUUCAGAGGACCUUCCGUUUGGCAAAGUGAGUUAGCACUUGCACUGGGUUUGCAUUCUGAGACAAUCUCAGAGGCGAGAGGCCCUGCAUCCUACCUCUGGACUGUGGAGGGGUCUAGGUCCUUCAGGUCUCAGGGACAUGGGCAGGGGAGAGAGGUCCCCUGUGCUCAGUCUUGUAGCUGACCUCAAUCCACACCUGGCUGACACCCCGGGUCUAUUUUUCAACACUCCAGAAGGCAUCGAGAGAGGCCAAAGGCUUGUCACAGAGGGGAUCUUGCUUAUAACAGACCACACAACAGUUUUAGGAUGUCUUGGUACUCAAGGACCCUCCCCAGUCCUGGGCUGGAACGUCAAUACCAAGGUGAGCAAGGAGGCCAGGUGAGGGAGCUUCCUGGAGCACUUUUGUUUGUGACUUUUUUUUUAAUCCACGUAAACUGAUAUUAGUGACAGCUCCCCAACCCCCAUGCUAGUUAGCUGUCCAAGUUUCCUUUGUUACAUAACCAGGAUUAAUUUAAGCAGCUCUUAUCCCUUCAUUCACAAGUGACAGGGAAGAGGAGUGACUAGGAGGGUCGGUGUUGCUCAUGGGACAGCCUGGGUGAAUUCCCUCAUUCCUCUGGGCCUUAGCUUUCCUUCCAUUAAGUGCAACGGCAGAAUGGAACAGCACCUCAGGUGUGCUGGAGUCUGCAGGUGUGUUUGUGGGUGGGCCCGCUCCCACCCUGGGCAGCUCUUGCAGGCCCCUUUCUCCAAGCAAGAAGAGUUGAAGGGAGGAAUCAGCAAACAUGACAGUUUCUAGGAGUUGGGUUUUUUUUUUUUUUUUUUGUUCCCAAAAAAUAAAAACCUGACUGCUCACUAGAGCUAAAGUAAAAAAGGAUUUAAUCUUCAUAGCCGUUCUAGAAGGUUGGUGCUCUGAGGAACCUCACACAGACAAGGAAACAAGCUGAGGAGAUGAGCCAUUGUCUGAGUUUACACUGGUAAAGGAAGAAGCCCCCGGGAUGUCCCAGUGCUCUGGCAGCCCUUGGACAGUGAGUCUGUAAUCAUCAGGAAGUGGCUAGGCCAAGCUCUUUUGCUAAGAGAGGAUAGGAAAUUAAUGCUGAGACCUGGGCCCCCCCAUCCAGGUUUCUGUGGCCGGGAGCCUGUUUUGUGAUUUCUUGUCAUCUAUUUUAUAGUCUAAUGGGAUUCUGUUCAAACCUGUCAUGAUAUCCUGUGUGUACCAGACCUUUAGCAGCUAGCUAAGAGAAACGCUCCUUCAGGGGAGGUGAAGCUUGUCUUAGUGGCUGAUUGAGGGGAGAGUCCCGGGCAUCCAUAUUAACCAGAGGUGGUUUUCCCUCUCUCAUAGAGGGAACAUAAGUAGGCUCUCCACAAGUAAUUGCAACAGAGAUGAACCCUUAUUGAAUACUUGGUCGCUGUACUAGCUGGCCAAUAUGCUUCCAUUCCCUCUUCAUUCGUCAUGGGAAGCAUGGGUGCACAAGAUAGGGAGGGCACUCUGCAGGUGAAGCAGCUAAAGGUCAGAGAGGUGACAUAAUUUACCAGGUUACAAAGUUGAACUAGGACUUCAAUGACUAGAUAGAUGGCAGAAGACCAGGCCAACUUUGUCUCCUUGGAUCUUGAUCCAGGUACAAGGUCUCAAAUCAGAUUGCACUCUGUAACUGAUGGAUGAGAUGAGCUGAGUAGAUGAACUUGAAACUAUCUCUGCCAGGAAUGAAGAUAUUCUAAAGAGCUGAGUCUGCCCCUCCCUUUGGCAGUCAGACUACUGAGACAAUGCAGCCUAAGGGAUUGGGAUCUUCCCCAGGCGUCUUAGCCUGAGAGAAAGGAGAAAGCCGCUGGCUGCCCUAACCGGAGGCAGAACAAAGCGGGAGGCCUGUGGGAACUCAAAUGAAAACUCUCUCAAGGCACACCUCCCCCUCCCCGCAAUGGGCUUCUGUGGUGCCUGCAUGGGGACUCUUCCACGUACGUUUCUUUUUCAUUGUGGCAUGCCCGGCCUACCUACGCUUUGCAGAAGUAACACACUGUUUCUCCAGUUCCUCUCAACAUCUUGUCCUUACUUGUGAAUGGAGUGUUUACAAGCCAUUCGACUCCUCAAGACUGGCUGAGUCAGUGAGAGGCCUCGGAAGUUCACUCUAGUGGCAGAGAGUUGAACUGUGUGUUUUGUAAGCAUUAGCCUUUGAAUACUGGGCCGUUUGGAAGAAUCCUUUUGGAAAACAGUGUUGAAAUUGAACUGCUGUUCUUUGGAUCCUGGUGCUGGCAAGGUGGCCAAGUGUCAUGGUCUCCGUACUGCCAGGAAGCUGCAUAGUCAUCUGUGGGAUUCAAAGAGGCAACAAUAUAAGAAAGCCCUCUUGGGCGUGGCCCUG
Molecule: long non-coding RNA, 4152 nt
Organism: Mastomys coucha (southern multimammate mouse)
Lineage: Eukaryota; Metazoa; Chordata; Mammalia; Rodentia; Muridae
Exons: 2
Source: RefSeq, a predicted model, not a curated record